ACCGUAUUAGGCUCUAAGUCUUUAGGUGUUUACUUCUUAAAGUGUGGUACCACACUAGCUUACCUGCUGCCAUAAUAAGGUCGGUCGCUUGAAAUCUCCACUGAAAUUCCCCACCCAAUUGCAUUUUUGAAGACCUGUGCAAUUCUUUGAAUUUUCCCAGUUUGAGAGAUUAGACUUCCACAAUAGAAUUUCAUGCAUUUUAUCUUGUAGCAUGAGAAUAGCACUCUUACUCAAAGAAGCAUAAAUAUCAUUUAUAAACAGGUUUUGAUAGGUUCUGCUCAGGGCCUCAAUAAAGUGAAAGUAAACAGUUUCCAUUUCUUAAGCUACAAAGAAGCGUCUAAUUUUGUUAUACUUGACAAGAUCCUGUCCCAGGACCAAUAGAUUAGAGCUGACUCCCGAAAACAAGGUAAAAAUCAGGACCAAGUUUGACAUUCUUGAAAGGUCAGGUGUAUCCUUUCAAGAACAGUUGAAAUGUGAUGGACAAUUCUUAACAGGUUCUUCUUGAUGAGUGGACAUAUGGAUAUGUCCCCAAUGGUUCAGACUGCCAGUCAGUGUGUGAUGUGCCGAGCUGAAAUAAGUGUAUUCAGUACUGCUUGAGGAAAAGUUGUUUGAGUACCCUGGUUCCAUUAUCCAAGUAUCAUGGAAGCUGCUGCAGCAUGGCUUCUUUCCAUACUCCUUGAACAACUUAGAUAGCCCCAGGGCUUUCAGCCUUCCGGGUGCUACUGCAUUAAAACUUCUGUUGUCUCUGACCAUUGGUCAUACUGUUUGGGAUAGACGGGAGUUGCAAUCCAACAACAUCUGGAGGACUAGGAUGUUCCUCACCGCUGCACUAGAGCAUUGCCCCUGUUUCCAUGCUGGAAUGGAAAGCUGUGUUACUGUGAUUCCCCCCCUCCAUGAUCUUGGACUUCUGAUUUUACCCAAAGCAGCAGAGGAAACAGAACUAUAUCUCGGGGUGGAUUUCUUUUGACUACAGAAGGACAAGUUCACAAAAGGAUCAAUGUUAUACUAGCUGCAUAGAUAAGACAGUGACUUGGUUUGCACGCCAGUGUCACAUUAAGCCAAAACAUGGCUUAGCGCAAAUACACAGGCUUCCAAAGAAGAGACUUUGGCCAUUUUUCUUGUCCUCAGUAGUCCUACAACUGCACUGAGCUACACCAUCGUUUACCUCAGGGUGUCAGGGGAUCAUAGUUUUGCUCUCCUGGACCAAUCACUAGCCAUGAACUAUUAAGACAAACCUGGAUUUGGACAACAUGCCAAACCAUGACUUAGCUCAAUGGAGCAGCAGAAUAGCAGAGAAGUAAGCCACAGUGAUCUAAUAUAAUGCUUGUGUUUUACACUAAGCCAUAGUCUGGCUCUUUGACAUGUGAACCAGGCCUGUGAAUGGAAAAUCUGCUGCUUGCUUCCUGAAAGUUUGUUUUUCAGUUACCUAGUCCAGCAAAGCUGCCUUUAGGCGUUGAUGCAUCUGUAAUGCAACUUGCUUAGCAGCUGAUGUUGAUAAAAACAAGAACUUUGAUUAUUAAACUGCCAAACAAUAGAUCAGAUUCAGAGCAUUGUGAAGCGCAGCAGGAAAUAUGAAAAUGGAUGUUUAAAUAGUCAAAGCUUGUGUGCGUGCUUUAUGUAACAGUACAUUAUUCUGACUUUCAUAAUGUUUUGUAUUAUAAGUGCAUAUUGAGACUGAGUUUCAAAAGUUUGCCAUUAAAUUUUGAUUCAGUCAAA
Molecule: long non-coding RNA, 1716 nt
Organism: Podarcis raffonei (Aeolian wall lizard)
Lineage: Eukaryota; Metazoa; Chordata; Lepidosauria; Squamata; Lacertidae
Exons: 2
Source: RefSeq, a predicted model, not a curated record